RNAcentral lists this transfer RNA (72 nucleotides) under Sus scrofa (pig). It matches the Rfam family "tRNA". From Rfam's summary of the family: Transfer RNA (tRNA) molecules are approximately 80 nucleotides in length. The record is from Rfam by way of RNAcentral. Lineage: Eukaryota; Metazoa; Chordata; Mammalia; Artiodactyla; Suidae.
UUCUUGGUGGUCUAGUGGUUAGGACUUGGUGUUUUCACUACUGCAUUCCAGGUUCAAACCCUGGUCUGGGUG